Long non-coding RNA from Clupea harengus (Atlantic herring), 958 nucleotides. RefSeq lists it as uncharacterized. The record is from RefSeq and is a predicted model, not a curated record. The transcript is spliced from 2 exons. NCBI's taxonomy places the organism in Eukaryota, Metazoa, Chordata, Actinopteri, Clupeiformes, Clupeidae.
UCUGAAGGCUGUGGGCUCAAAGAUGUGUUGAGUGUCAGAGAUGGGGGAGGGGGAGACUAAAUGUAUCUCCAUUCUUCAAUAUAGGGAACUCUGUAUUUCUUCUGUGAAACAUUCUCAUGUCAAAUAUGGAAGAGAGUCAGAGGGAACUGUCGUAUUGUUGACAGAACAAGUGAGAAAGGGACAUCACAUGUAUGGAUUAAGUUAAAAAAGGAACACACUUUCUCAGAUAUUCACAUUUACCUGUGUGCCAUCCCCUUUCAAAUACUACAAUAAAAAAUUAUAAUCCAUAAUAAAUAAGAGUUCCCUAUAUACGCCUGUAUGACUCUAAAAUUAUAAUCCAUGAGAAAUAUAAUUACUAUAUAUCCCCGUAUGACUCAGAAAUUAUAUUUUUUCCAGUUCUGCUGAUAUAUCUCCCUAAAUAGUCAACACUGCACUUUUAAUACCAAAAUUGGAGCAUUUUUCGGAAUCAUGAAAGAAAAGAAAAUUGUCCAAAUUUUCAAAGAGAGGGAGAAAUGUUUGCAUGUUCACAAGGGUUUCCUCCACAUAGAACCCCAACACAAAAACAUGCAAAAGAACAGAAAAGGUCGCUCCCUGUCCGUCUCUGACCAAGAUUGGACUGAACACUUGGCCUGGUCCCAGGGCGCCGAAAAAAAGGCUGCCCACUGCUCCUGGCUGCCUUGAGGAAGGACAAGGACUUUAAAGGCAGAAGGCAAAUUUCACCGGCGACCUCAUCAGCAUGCGUGUGUGUGUGUGUUUGGGUCCUGUGUCGCUGCCAAACGCAUGUGUGUGGUGUUGUGUGUCGUGCUGUGUGACAAUAAAAUAUGACUUUGACUUUGAAAUACCACCGAAACAGCAUCAGUGGCAUUACAGUUGACAACAAUUUAGAGAAGCUCUUCUGCAAUAUUAUUAAGAGACUUAUGCCAUUACUUCUUGAAUAAAAGGUCCUCAGUUGUUUUCA